AUUGAACGCUGGCGGCAUGCCUUACACAUGCAAGUCGAACGGUAACAGGUCUUCGGAUGCUGACGAGUGGCGAACGGGUGAGUAAUACAUCGGAACGUGCCUAGUCGUGGGGGAUAACUACUCGAAAGAGUGGCUAAUACCGCAUGAGAUCUACGGAAGAAAGCAGGGGAUCGCAAGACAUUGUGAAACUAGAGCGGCCGAUGGCAGAUUAGGUAGUUGGUGGGAUAAAAGCUUACCAAGCCGACGAUCUGUAGCUGGUCUGAGAGGACGAUCAGCCACACUGGGACUGAGACACGGCCCAGACUCCUACGGGAGGCAGCAGUGGGGAAUUUUGAACAAUGGGCGAAAGCCUGAUCCAGCAAUGCCGCGUGCAGGAUGAAAGCCUUCGGGUUGUAAACUGCUUUUGUACGGAACGAAAAGCCCCGGGUUAAUACCCUGGGGUCAUGACGGUACCGUAAGAAUAAGCACCGGCUAACUACGUGCCAGCAGCCGCGGUAA
RNAcentral lists this ribosomal RNA (498 nucleotides) under uncultured bacterium. Its description in RNAcentral is "partial 16S ribosomal RNA". It matches the Rfam family "Bacterial small subunit ribosomal RNA", at positions 30 to 523 of the family's 1533-position model. The record is from RNAcentral.